Molecule: ribosomal RNA, 236 nt
Filed under: uncultured bacterium
Lineage: Bacteria
Description: partial 16S ribosomal RNA
Rfam family: Bacterial small subunit ribosomal RNA
Source: RNAcentral
CGGCGGACGGGUGAGUAAUGUAUGGGGAUCUGCCUGAUGGGCGGGGGAUAACUACUGGAAACGGUAGCUAAUACCGCAUAAUGUCUACGGACCAAAGCGGGGGACCUCCGGGCCUCGCGCCAUCAGAUGAACCCAUAUGGGAUUAGCUAGUAGGUAAGGUAACGGCUUACCUAGGCGACGAUCCCUAGCUGGUCUGAGAGGAUGAUCGGCCACACUGGGACUGAGACACGGCCCAG